AAAUGGAUUAAAGCAGUUGUAUACUGCUGUGAUAAAUUUUUGUGAUGCUGAUUUGUGCCCGCAGCCUUGAGGUUUGCAACAUCCAGAAGAAGCGCUAGCAAGAGAAACAGGGUUUAGUCUAAGUGAGAUUGAAGAACUGUAUGAACUAUUCAAGAAGAUCAACACUGAAGUAACGGACGAUGGAUUAAUUACUAAGUUUCAUUCCAAUUGUAUGAUCUCAAACAAGGAUUUAUUCAGAGACAAGAGGCAAUUUAAUUUAUUUUUAAAUGAUGUUGAAUAAAUGGAGUUUUGAUCACUCACCAUGUAGGACUACUAUUCCAUAGUGUCAUAUAUAGUGUUAUACUAAUUCUUACCUAUCGAUCAAUGUGUGAAAGGAUUAUUUGUUGAUAGCCUAAUUCAAAGCAUCAUUGACAAGGUAUUCAUUAUCUGACAACUUUAGUGUGUAUGUAUGUCUAAUAUUUUGUUCAUAAGUCUAGGUAUUUGUUCUCUCCUUUUCAUGUUUUGCUUGGCUUUUUGUUGGUAUGUGAAAUUUAUUAUCUUUUACACUCUUCUUAAUAGUCUAUAGUAAAAGCAAUCUUAUCAAGCAUGGCUUUUAAUGCAUGCAUACUUUGGAAAUAAGCAGUAUGGGUUUUAGGAGUGGUUGGUAGUUGUUGUUUCCCUUGCUAGUUUAAAUGUGUUAUUUUCGUUAUAUCUCAUACCAAUUAUUGAUCAGUGGGACAAUUAAGUGUUCUCCGUAUGAUGUUUUCCUUAUACAUGGACCAAAGUCUUUACAAUAUUUUUCUACUAAAUAAAGUAAAUCUUUAGCCUUGUUCUUGUGAACCUCUUAAAUUAUGUAUGUUGACUUGAAGAUUAUGGCAUACCAAGUCCUUUGUGCUAUUAUAAUCUUCUCUAUAGAGCUAUCACUAACUGUACUUAAACUCGAUCUUCAGACAUUCGAGGAAGCUGAUACAAAACAUGAUGGGAAGAUUGACAAGGAAGAAUGGCUAAACCUUGUCUUGCAACAUAUCCAUCCCUUCUAAAAAAUAUGACUCUUCAUUAUUUCAAAGGUAUUACAACUACAUUUCCCAGUUUUGUAUUUCACUCACAAGUUGAUGAUGCUUGAGGCAACUACACAUCUAUGUCAGUUUCUCUGGUGUUGGCUGAGCAGGUUCUUGUUUCCCUUGAGAGUGGUGGAAUUCUGUGAGAAGGAUAUGGCUAAAAUGGAAAUGGGCUAUUUAUAUUUCCAUUGAAUAGAAAGUUGCCUUCCAUUUUUUUGGGUAGAUGAACUAGGUUUGGAUUUUGAAUAAAUGAAUUUAAUUAUUUAUUUGCUUCAUUAGGAAUGAAAACAAAAUAGGAUAAAAUUAAUAUACAGGUGUUUCAGAAAUAGCACCAGAAACUUUUGGAUACAAAUAUAUUUUGCCAUUAUGACUUCUAGAAAGGCAUCACUGAGCUUAGGUGCAAAGUUAAGAAUUUCUGCU
Long non-coding RNA from Glycine soja, 1457 nucleotides. RefSeq lists it as uncharacterized. The record is from RefSeq and is a predicted model, not a curated record. Lineage: Eukaryota; Viridiplantae; Streptophyta; Magnoliopsida; Fabales; Fabaceae. The transcript is spliced from 4 exons.